CUUGUUUAAAUAUAGGAGGUCCAGCCUGCCCAGUGAUAAUUUAUUCAACGGCCGCGUAAUUUAAAGCGCGCAAAGGUAGCGUAAUCACUUGUUCUUUAAAUGAGGACUCGAAUCAACGGCACCACGAGGGCUAUACUGUCUCCUUCCCCCAAUCAGUGAAACUAAUCCCCCUGUGAAAAAGCAGGGAUAUCCCUAUAAGACGAGAAGACCCCAUGGAGCUUUAAACAUAACAACAUCUUUAAAAUUUCAUACACCCACCUUAUUAACAUGAAAGCAUUGUGCGUUAGUUUUAGGUUGGGGCGACCGCGGAGUAUAAGAAAACCUCCACAACGAAAGGGAAUAAGCCCUUACUUGAGAAAAACAUUUCUACAAAUUAUUAAUAUAACGUUUAAUGACCCGAUUAUCGAUUAACGAACCA
This 418-nucleotide ribosomal RNA is filed under the name Phrynoglossus sp. 0026Y. RNAcentral describes it as "partial 16S ribosomal RNA". It matches the Rfam family "Bacterial large subunit ribosomal RNA", at positions 1834 to 2441 of the family's 2925-position model. The record is from RNAcentral. Lineage: Eukaryota; Metazoa; Chordata; Amphibia; Anura; Dicroglossidae.